This 2930-nucleotide ribosomal RNA is filed under the name Escherichia coli. RNAcentral describes it as "23S ribosomal RNA". It matches the Rfam family "Bacterial large subunit ribosomal RNA". The record is from RNAcentral. Lineage: Bacteria; Pseudomonadati; Pseudomonadota; Gammaproteobacteria; Enterobacterales; Enterobacteriaceae. RNAcentral also lists the same sequence under 1 other name.
GGGUUGUGAGGUUAAGCGACUAAGCGUACACGGUGGAUGCCCUGGCAGUCAGAGGCGAUGAAGGACGUGCUAAUCUGCGAUAAGCGUCGGUAAGGUGAUAUGAACCGUUAUAACCGGCGAUUUCCGAAUGGGGAAACCCAGUGUGAUUCGUCACACUAUCAUUAACUGAAUCCAUAGGUUAAUGAGGCGAACCGGGGGAACUGAAACAUCUAAGUACCCCGAGGAAAAGAAAUCAACCGAGAUUCCCCCAGUAGCGGCGAGCGAACGGGGAGCAGCCCAGAGCCUGAAUCAGUGUGUGUGUUAGUGGAAGCGUCUGGAAAGGCGCGCGAUACAGGGUGACAGCCCCGUACACAAAAAUGCACAUGCUGUGAGCUCGAUGAGUAGGGCGGGACACGUGGUAUCCUGUCUGAAUAUGGGGGGACCAUCCUCCAAGGCUAAAUACUCCUGACUGACCGAUAGUGAACCAGUACCGUGAGGGAAAGGCGAAAAGAACCCCGGCGAGGGGAGUGAAAAAGAACCUGAAACCGUGUACGUACAAGCAGUGGGAGCACGCUUAGGCGUGUGACUGCGUACCUUUUGUAUAAUGGGUCAGCGACUUAUAUUCUGUAGCAAGGUUAACCGAAUAGGGGAGCCGAAGGGAAACCGAGUCUUAACUGGGCGUUAAGUUGCAGGGUAUAGACCCGAAACCCGGUGAUCUAGCCAUGGGCAGGUUGAAGGUUGGGUAACACUAACUGGAGGACCGAACCGACUAAUGUUGAAAAAUUAGCGGAUGACUUGUGGCUGGGGGUGAAAGGCCAAUCAAACCGGGAGAUAGCUGGUUCUCCCCGAAAGCUAUUUAGGUAGCGCCUCGUGAAUUCAUCUCCGGGGGUAGAGCACUGUUUCGGCAAGGGGGUCAUCCCGACUUACCAACCCGAUGCAAACUGCGAAUACCGGAGAAUGUUAUCACGGGAGACACACGGCGGGUGCUAACGUCCGUCGUGAAGAGGGAAACAACCCAGACCGCCAGCUAAGGUCCCAAAGUCAUGGUUAAGUGGGAAACGAUGUGGGAAGGCCCAGACAGCCAGGAUGUUGGCUUAGAAGCAGCCAUCAUUUAAAGAAAGCGUAAUAGCUCACUGGUCGAGUCGGCCUGCGCGGAAGAUGUAACGGGGCUAAACCAUGCACCGAAGCUGCGGCAGCGACGCUGAUGCGUUGUUGGGUAGGGGAGCGUUCUGUAAGCCUGCGAAGGUGUGCUGUGAGGCAUGCUGGAGGUAUCAGAAGUGCGAAUGCUGACAUAAGUAACGAUAAAGCGGGUGAAAAGCCCGCUCGCCGGAAGACCAAGGGUUCCUGUCCAACGUUAAUCGGGGCAGGGUGAGUCGACCCCUAAGGCGAGGCCGAAAGGCGUAGUCGAUGGGAAACAGGUUAAUAUUCCUGUACUUGGUGUUACUGCGAAGGGGGGACGGAGAAGGCUAUGUUGGCCGGGCGACGGUUGUCCCGGUUUAAGCGUGUAGGCUGGUUUUCCAGGCAAAUCCGGAAAAUCAAGGCUGAGGCGUGAUGACGAGGCACUACGGUGCUGAAGCAACAAAUGCCCUGCUUCCAGGAAAAGCCUCUAAGCAUCAGGUAACAUCAAAUCGUACCCCAAACCGACACAGGUGGUCAGGUAGAGAAUACCAAGGCGCUUGAGAGAACUCGGGUGAAGGAACUAGGCAAAAUGGUGCCGUAACUUCGGGAGAAGGCACGCUGAUAUGUAGGUGAAGUCCCUCGCGGAUGGAGCUGAAAUCAGUCGAAGAUACCAGCUGGCUGCAACUGUUUAUUAAAAACACAGCACUGUGCAAACACGAAAGUGGACGUAUACGGUGUGACGCCUGCCCGGUGCCGGAAGGUUAAUUGAUGGGGUCAGCGCAAGCGAAGCUCUUGAUCGAAGCCCCGGUAAACGGCGGCCGUAACUAUAACGGUCCUAAGGUAGCGAAAUUCCUUGUCGGGUAAGUUCCGACCUGCACGAAUGGCGUAAUGAUGGCCAGGCUGUCUCCACCCGAGACUCAGUGAAAUUGAACUCGCUGUGAAGAUGCAGUGUACCCGCGGCAAGACGGAAAGACCCCGUGAACCUUUACUAUAGCUUGACACUGAACAUUGAGCCUUGAUGUGUAGGAUAGGUGGGAGGCUUGGAAGUGUGGACGCCAGUCUGCAUGGAGCCGACCUUGAAAUACCACCCUUUAAUGUUUGAUGUUCUAACGUUGACCCGUAAUCCGGGUUGCGGACAGUGUCUGGUGGGUAGUUUGACUGGGGCGGUCUCCUCCUAAAGAGUAACGGAGGAGCACGAAGGUUGGCUAAUCCUGGUCGGACAUCAGGAGGUUAGUGCAAUGGCAUAAGCCAGCUUGACUGCGAGCGUGACGGCGCGAGCAGGUGCGAAAGCAGGUCAUAGUGAUCCGGUGGUUCUGAAUGGAAGGGCCAUCGCUCAACGGAUAAAAGGUACUCCGGGGAUAACAGGCUGAUACCGCCCAAGAGUUCAUAUCGACGGCGGUGUUUGGCACCUCGAUGUCGGCUCAUCACAUCCUGGGGCUGAAGUAGGUCCCAAGGGUAUGGCUGUUCGCCAUUUAAAGUGGUACGCGAGCUGGGUUUAGAACGUCGUGAGACAGUUCGGUCCCUAUCUGCCGUGGGCGCUGGAGAACUGAGGGGGGCUGCUCCUAGUACGAGAGGACCGGAGUGGACGCAUCACUGGUGUUCGGGUUGUCAUGCCAAUGGCACUGCCCGGUAGCUAAAUGCGGAAGAGAUAAGUGCUGAAAGCAUCUAAGCACGAAACUUGCCCCGAGAUGAGUUCUCCCUGACUCCUUGAGAGUCCUGAAGGAACGUUGAAGACGACGACGUUGAUAGGCCGGGUGUGUAAGCGCAGCGAUGCGUUGAGCUAACCGGUACUAAUGAACCGUGAGGCUUAACCUUACAACGCCGAAGCUGUU